Molecule: unclassified non-coding RNA, 281 nt
Filed under: Hevea brasiliensis (rubber tree)
Lineage: Eukaryota; Viridiplantae; Streptophyta; Magnoliopsida; Malpighiales; Euphorbiaceae
Source: RNAcentral
UUAAAAUGUUUUCAUCAUUGCUCCCUAAAGCUAUUAAGGAAUAAUAUUAGGUCACCUAUUAUCUAUGAUGCCCAAUUAAACGAUCUUCCCUUUUAAAGAGUCGAUAAAUUUUCAUUAGCUAUCCUACAGAUUAUACACAAUUAGCUAAUGAAUCAAAAUCUAUUUGAAAAGGCACUUAUAUCAUGAAGGUCCCAAGCCUCGGAAUAGGUAUGUUUUCAUAGCUUGUAUUAUUGCUCAGCAGAUAAAGGUAAGAAAGGACCUUGGAAAUAGUUAAUGCAGGG